This 483-nucleotide ribosomal RNA is filed under the name uncultured Lachnospiraceae bacterium. RNAcentral's name for it is "bacterial SSU rRNA". It matches the Rfam family "Bacterial small subunit ribosomal RNA", at positions 898 to 1382 of the family's 1533-position model. The record is from RNAcentral. Lineage: Bacteria; Bacillati; Bacillota; Clostridia; Lachnospirales; Lachnospiraceae.
AACUCAAAGGAAGUUGACGGGGCCCGCACAAGCGGUGGAGCAUGCGGUUUAAUUCGAAGCAACGCGAAGAACCUUACCAAGACUUGACAUCCCCUGACAGCUGUUGAAAGGCAGUGUCUCUUCGGAGCAGGGAGACAGGUGGUGCAUGGUUGUCGUCAGCUCGUGUCGUGAGAUGUUGGGUUAAGUCCCGCAACGAGCGCAACCCUUAUCCUUAGUUACCAGCACGUAAAGGUGGGGACUCUAGGGAGACCGCCGGGGACGACUCGGAGGAAGGUGGGGACGACGUCAAAUCAUCAUGCCCCUUAUGUCUUGGGCUACACACGUGCUACAAUGGCCGCAACAGAGGGAAGCGAGAGCGCAAGCUGGAGCAAAACCCUAAAAAGCGGUCCCAGUUCGGAUUGUGGGCUGCAACCCGCCCACAUGAAGUCGGAGUUGCUAGUAAUCGCGAAUCAGCAUGUCGCGGUGAAUGCGUUCCCGGGCCUU